GAUGAACGCUGGCGGCGUGCCUAAUACAUGCAAGUCGAGCGAACAGACGAGGAGCUUGCUCCUCUGACGUUAGCGGCGGACGGGUGAGUAACACGUGGAUAACCUACUUAUAAGACUGGGAUAACUUCGGGAAACCGGAGCUAAUACCGGAUAAUAUAUUGAACCGCAUGGUUAAAUAUUGAAAGACGGUUUUGCUGUCACUUAUAGAUGGAUCCGCGCCGCAUUAGCUAGUUGGUAAGGUAACGGCUUACCAAGGCAACGAUGCGUAGCCGACCUGAGAGGGUGAUCGGCCACACUGGAACUGAGACACGGUCCAGACUCCUACGGGAGGCAGCAGUAGGGAAUCUUCCGCAAUGGGCGAAAGCUUGACGGAGCAACGCCGCGUGAGUGAUGAAGGUCUUCGGAUCGUAAAACUCUGUUAUUAGGGAAGAACAAAUGUGUAAGUAACUAUGCACGUCUUGACGGUACCUAAUCAGAAAGCCACGGCUAACUACGUG
Molecule: ribosomal RNA, 497 nt
Filed under: uncultured bacterium
Lineage: Bacteria
Description: partial 16S ribosomal RNA
Rfam family: Bacterial small subunit ribosomal RNA
Source: RNAcentral